This 1404-nucleotide ribosomal RNA is filed under the name Rhinella vellardi (Alto Maranon toad). RNAcentral describes it as "partial 16S ribosomal RNA". It matches the Rfam family "Bacterial large subunit ribosomal RNA", at positions 23 to 2575 of the family's 2925-position model. Lineage: Eukaryota; Metazoa; Chordata; Amphibia; Anura; Bufonidae. The record is from RNAcentral.
GCUAAAAACCUAGCCCAACAAAUAUGAAUUUUACUAAAUAAAUUUUUUCCUUUUAAUAAAUCAUUUUAACAUUCUAGUAGAGGAGAUUGAAAAACUUAUUGGAGCCAUAACGAAAGUACCGCAAGGGAAUGGUGAAAUAUAAAAUGAAAAAUUAUUAAGCAAGAAAAAGUAAAGACUACCCCUUGUACCUUUUGCAUCAUGGUUUAACUAGUCUAAUCAAGCAAAACGUAUUUAAGUUUGACUUCCCGAAACUAAGUGAGCUACUUCGGGGCAGCUAAAAGAGCGAACCCGUCUCUGUAGCAAAAGAGUGGGAUGACCCCCAAGUAGCGGUGAUAGACCUAACGAACUAAGUGAUAGCUGGUUACUCAAGAAAUGGAUCUAAGUCCAACCUGAAAAUUUUCUACUUAGUAUACCAAAACAUCACUUAAUUUUCAGCGUAAUUCAAAUAAGGUACAGCCUAUUUGAAACAGGAUACAACCUAAACUAAUGGAUAAGACCAACUAAAUUUACAAUCAAGUGGGCCUAAAAGCAGCCAUCUUUAAAAUAGCGUCAAAGCUUAAUUGUUAUAACGUCUAAUUACCCAACCCCCAUCUUAAUCCUUAAUUUAAUAAUGAGUAAUUCUAUAAUAUUAUAGAAAGUUUUAUGUUAAAACUAGUAACAAGAAGAAGACUCUUCUCUUUAAUGUAGGUGUAAAUCAGAAAGGACAAACCACUGAUAAUUAACGCCAUUGAAACUAAAAUAGAAACUCAUCAAGAAAAAUCUAUUUUCACCAACGUUAAUCUAACACAAGAACAUUUUAAGAAAGAUUAAAAGAAAAAGAAGGAACUCGGCAAAUGUUAACCUCGCCUGUUUACCAAAAACAUCGCCUCUUGACCCCAAUAAGAGGUCCAGCCUGCCCAGUGACCCUGUUUAACGGCCGCGGUAUCCUAACCGUGCGAAGGUAGCGUAAUCACUUGUUCUUUAAAUGUGGACUAGUAUGAAUGGCAUCACGAAGGUUAUACUGUCUCCUUUUUUUAAUCAGUGAAACUAAUUUCCCCGUGAAGAAGCGAGGAUAAAAAUAUAAGACGAGAAGACCCUAUGGAGCUUCAAACAAUACAGCACUUGCCCCCAAAAUUUAAGUUUCUGAACAUCUUAAUUCUUUGGAAAAUAUGACUGUAAGUUUUUGGUUGGGGUGACCGCGGAGCAAAGCACAACCUCCAUGUUGAAAGAAUUAUUCUAAGCUAAGAACUACCUGCCGAAGCAUCAAUACAUUGACAUCUAUUGACCCAAUAUAUUUGACCAACGAACCAAGUUACCCUAGGGAUAACAGCGCAAUCCACUUCAAGAGCUCCUAUCGACAAGUGGGUUUACGACCUCGAUGUUGGAUCAGGGUAUCCCAGUGGUGCAGCCGCUACUAAAGGUUCG